This 466-nucleotide long non-coding RNA is filed under the name Marmota monax (woodchuck). The record is from RNAcentral. Lineage: Eukaryota; Metazoa; Chordata; Mammalia; Rodentia; Sciuridae.
AAGAAACCCCACCUCCCGGUGAACAGGUGUCAUCAGCUGCUUUGUGCAGAUGUGGAAGGGGAGAUCAGAGACAGUGAUUUUCCCAGAGAGGCACAGCAGGGUAGGCAGUGGGUCCACUUUACCCAUCUCAGACAUCCUGCCUUCCUCUAAUACCAGGCCCUCACUUGGAGCUGGGCACUUGUACGGACCAAACGGGGACCUUCCCAUUUAAUUCACAGCUCAAAGAAGUUGUUUUGCAAAUGCAAAGAUCAGGGCCCCGGAGGGGCAGAGCCAUUUGCCGCAGGCCACCUGGAGGAACGAGGAGGAAGAAACAGCGGAGGCUCUAAGGGACGGGUGCGGGAUUCCCGGGGCUCCCCUCCGCUGGGGACCUCGAUCUCCGCCCCUCCUGCAGCCACGGCCAGGCUCACCGAGCGGAAGGGGCGGCGGCGGCGGCGGUGGCCAAUGGGCUGCGCAGAGCGUCACUUCC